CACAAGCAGAGGAGCAUGUGGCUUAAUUCGAUGCAACGCGAAGAACCUUACCCGGGUUUGACAUGUGACUGCACGGCCUGUGAAAGCAGGCCUCCUUCGAGGGUGUCACACAGGUGCUGCAUGGCUGUCGUCAGUUCGUGCCGUGAGGUGUUUGGUUAAGUCCAGCAACGAACGCAACCCCUGUGUCCAGUUGCCAGCGCGCAAAGGCGGGAACUCUGGACAGACUGCCCGUUCACACGGGAGGAAGGUGGGGAUGACGUCAAGUCAGUAUGGCCCUUACAUCCGGGGCUGCAUACGUGCUACAAUGGCCGGCACAAAGGGAAGCUUGACCGCGAGGUUUGGCCAACCCCCAAAACCGGCCCCAGUUCAGAUUGGGGUCUGCAACCCGACCCCAUGAAGUCGGAUUUGCUAGUAACGGCGCAUCAGCUACGGCGCCGUGAAUACGUUCCCGGGCCUU
This 457-nucleotide ribosomal RNA is filed under the name uncultured Lentisphaerota bacterium. Its description in RNAcentral is "bacterial SSU rRNA". It matches the Rfam family "Bacterial small subunit ribosomal RNA", at positions 924 to 1382 of the family's 1533-position model. The record is from RNAcentral. Lineage: Bacteria; Pseudomonadati; Lentisphaerota.